UUAAUUAAGAUCAAGGGUCAAUUGAAGCAAUUAAUCCCAAGAAAUCAAUUAGCCUUAAGAAUGAAGGAAUCCCCAAUUCCUAGAGGAUGUCAAAUGCUUACACAUCCAUAAAGGAGUUAUGAUUCAUAAGCUAGAGAUGAUUUCUACCAUCAUAAAGCCUUUGUUCUAGAUAAAUUCAAUGAUCCAAUGCAAAAUCAAUGAAAUAAAUCAACCAUUGCUCAAUCAAAUACUAAGCUCAUGAUCAAAGCAUCAAUUAAGCAUAAGAAUUGCAAACUAGAAUCAUAAACAUGGAAUAAAUUGAUAAUCAACAUAAAUCCUUCAAAACCCACAAACAUUCAUUGGUUUUCAGCCAAAGUCAACCAAAUAAGAGUAUUAGCCACUCAUGGCAACAAAGUAACAAGAACAAUAAUCUAAUUGCAUAAAGAAACUACCUAAGAUUUGGAAAGAUGAAAGGAAAUGGUUUCUAGCUCCCAAAAUCGCCUCUUGCAGGUCUCUAAUGGUGGAAAAACGUAAAUUAGCUUCUAGAUCUGAUCCCUAAGGGUUAUGGUGUGCCAAAUGACCAAAAUGCCCAAACUGGGCAGUUGCGCGGGUACCGGCGCGACGAAAAUUCCACCCGCGCAAAUGUUGCUGUAAUACUAUUGGUCCACCAAGCCACUCCACCCUUCCACUACCAAAGAUUCCUUUGGUCCCCCUCCUUGUCCAUGUAAUUUGAAAUGCACCAAUCAUCAUUUAGCCACCAAAUGGAUGCUCCAAGCCCAAAAUUUGAAUUUUAUGAUCCAUCUUCACAAGCCCAAAUAAUCCAAGCCAAUAACUUUCAAAGCCCAAUUCUUCUUCUUUGAUUCCGCCAAGCCCAAUAAUGCCUCGGGAGCCCACUAAGCCCGUCUCCAAUCAACCCGCAACCGCAACAAGCACCGAAAAACCUACAAAAUAUCUCAUGCAACAUAACAAGCACCCGGUAUGAUCCAUACUAAAGAAAAAUAAAUAAAUUACAAUGCAUUAAUGAUAAAAAGAUCUAAAAAUCUAAAAAUAAACUAAUAAAAUAAGGAAAUAAAAUAAGCUAUCAAAUCACCCCAAGCUUAAACCUAACUUGUCCUCAAGUUAGAACAAGACUAAAAAUGAGCUCGGGAUGAACUAUCUAAAAAGGAAAAAGAAAGAUACCAUAGAACUUGGUCAACAUCAGUCAACAUGGUCAGAAUUAGUCCUUCAAUGGACCCUACGCAUCUUCAAAAUGUUCCCCGCUUUAGAACCAUAAACCACAUUCUUAACCACUUGAUGGGCGAAUAGAUCACGGCUGGAUGCGGUCGCGGUGUGCAAGACAAAGGAAACAGAGAUGCGCCCAGUGGGGGCACUUUAAAUCACCAAUGUAGACCAUAGUGCACGAAGGAAAGGCGCCUCUUCACACACUAUGAUUCCUACAUUUGUCAGGCCAAAGUGUAUAAUAAUGAAAUAGGGUUUUGCAGCACGGCCUCUGGGCAAACAUCCGGUUUCAGAGGCUUCUCCCUUGUACUGUCCUUUACAGUCUACCGUCUCAUCGUCGGGGCCUUUUCUCACCAAAAAUCAAAAAUAAAAUAAAAUAANNNNNNNNNNNNNNNNNNNNNNNNNNNNNNNNNNACAAAACAUUCGGGUCUUGGUAGAAGACUACAUUGUCAUAACAAAACAUUCGGGUCUUGGUAGAAGACUACAUUUCAUACUUAUAGAAAAUAAGGGAUUUUCUUGGGUUUUCAUACUUACAUCAACAUUUUCAUUUAAAGGUUUACAUGGCCUUCAUAACAGAUUUUCAUAAGCAAGACAAUGACACUUAAAUACUUAUGAAUUCACCAGCUUUAAAGCUGAUACUCUCUUUCAAAAUAACUUGUAUUCUCAGGUCAACAGUAGACAGGUACGAUGGCCAGGUUUUGAGAAGACGGAGCAGACAAGUCUCAUCUUUUAUUUUGAUUGUAUAUUUUUGGUGUCUUGCUAAAAUGAAAGAACACAUAUGUAUUAAAAUUUUACUUAUAAUGCAAUGGAUGAUGUUGUUUCUUGUUUAUUAUAUUACACUGUUGUGAUACUGUACAUGACGUCCUCCACCCCUGAACGUUUCCGCCGUUCGUGGUUUUGGGGUAUGACAUAAGAUAGGAUGGAGGCUAAAAUGAACACCAAAUGAUCAAUGACAGUAUGCCAAGAUCAACUAAAAAGGGUAGGGAAUGACUCAAAAAAUGGGUGUUAUCGAAAAAACUUGGUCCCAAAAGAUGUGAAUUGGGGGACCCACUUCAAUGUUCAUCAAGCACCUCAAUUCAAGGUGUGAUAAAAAAAAUCUAACUAAGCACCCUGUCCUAAAAAGGAGGUGAGAAUCUAACUAUGCAAGGCUCGGACAAGACUCGGGAGUACUAAGGGGUACUCCCCCCAAAACGAAGAUUCGAGUCUUCAAUAUCUUCAAUGUCUUCAAAAUACCUUACCGGGCUAGUCUUUGCUCGCACACAUUGGCAUGACCAACCACAUCCCUCCGCACCUAGACCCAAUCAAGCUACCUGCAUCUGACCCCCACACAAGCGGUCUCAAAGUGGUCUGUGAGGCUCAAAACUUGUCCCAUUCAUCAAAUACAAGGAAUUCCAUAUCAAGACCCGGGACCAAUCUAUGAUUCAAUCCUUAUGACUCUGCGCUAUGGUACCUGUAGGGAUGAGAAGACAAGAGAGAACAAAAAUGCAUGAACCUAACCUAAAAUGCAUCUAAAAAGUAUGAAAAUUAGAAAAGAAAGAAACAAAAUAUGCAAUAUUUUUUUUUGAAUUUUUUUAUGCAAUUUUUAUGAAUGCCCUAAAUGACUAACUCUAAAUGCAACUAUAUACAACCUAAAUGCAAUAAAAAUAAAAGAUUAGAUUACCUCACCCCAAGCUUAAAAUUAAGCAUUGUCCUCAAUGCUUAGGAUGAGAGUAAGGAAGGAUCAUACCGGGAUCAAGGUGGAGGAGGCCCGCGAGGACGGUAUGGAAGCAACACAUGGGUCGCAUAAUGAUGCUUGGAUGGAGUUCUUGGCCGCCUAAAUACACAUGGAUGAAAGCUUGGUCGCGCAAAGGACGCAUAUGAAAUGGCUCGAAAUUUUCUUAUGAAAUGACAUAUUUGCGCGGGUACCCUCGCAAACUUUGCGCGAGUGGGGGGCAUCCGCGCGCACAUGUCAGAAUACAUCCCAUGUUGGGGUAAUUUGGAACUCGGAAUCUGCGCGGCUGGGGGUCGGUCGCGCAACGGCUGCGCGGGCACCCGCGCACAACAAUCAGAGAGCACCCCAUGUUGCUGUAAUUUGGAACUCGGGACCUGCGCGACUGGGGUCGGUCGCGCAAAGUCUGCGCUGGAACCCGCGCAAAAGUCAAAAUUUUGGAAUUUUCAAACUUCACCAAAAUCACUGGAAGACUUCUAUAUGCUUAUUUUUAGGCCAACUUCAAGUUUAGAAACACCCAAAACUUCAAGCGGAGAAUAUUUAUUCACAAUGCAUUUAUUUAACGUCCUUGCCAAGACAUAGCCCCGCUUCCGUCAACCUUCGUAAAUCGGUGUUUCCAUUGUUACGUUGUCGAAUUCUCCCGUGUCAAAGCCUUCAUAAAAUAGUUUCAAAUGGUUCCCAUUCACUUUGAAGAUUUGGUUUGUUUCCAAACUCUUGAUUUCAACCACACUAGGAUCAAACACUUUUAUAACAAUAAAAGGUCCAUGCCAUCGAGAUUGCAAUUUUCCCGGGAAUAACUUUAAGCCUGAAUGAUAAAGAACUUUUUGACCCGUAAUAAAGUGUUUUUGGGUUAUGUACUUGUCAUGAAAUGCCUUUUUCUUCUCUUUGCACCUUUUGAACCUUUUAAUUAUCUUCUUCUUGACCACUUCCAUCAUUGGAGGAUCCAAUCUUCUUUGAGGUUCCCUCUUAGGAUUACAAUCAUCUUCCAUGAUUAUCUUGUCUGUGCAUACAUUAGGGUUUAUCCUGUUUAUUGGCUCAAUCACAUCAACCUGAUACAAUGGAGAAAUGUUAUUAGGAUACCUCAUUCCUUCAAAGAUGUUGAAGUUAAUGGUUUCUCCAUCAAACUCCAUAGUUAUCUUUCCUUUAUGGACAUCAAUGAUUGUGUGAGUGGUAUGCAUGAAAGGUCUUCCAAGGAGGAUCAUAGAUGAUAUGGAAGGAGUUUUCUCUUCAAGAUCAAUGACAUAAAAAUCCGCCGGAAAAACAAGUUGAUUAACUUGUACUAACACAUCCUCCAACACUCCUCUUGGAGACACACUUGACUUGUCUGCUAAUUGAAUGAUUACUCCAGUUUCUUCCAAAGGUCCAACAUUAAGAGAUUGAAAAACCGAAUAUGGCAUCACAUUAAUCGAGGCUCCAAGAUCUAACAUAACACUUUCGACAUGCAAAUCACCAAUGGUACAAGGGAUAGCAAAUAUUCCCGGAUCCUUGCAUUUGGGAGGUAACUUCUUUUGGAUAACCGCAGACACAUUUGCAUUGACUUGAAUCUUUUCAUUUGCCUUGAAUUUUCUCUUCUUGGUGCAUAAAUCCUUGAGGAAUUUUGCAUAACUUGGAAUUUGCUUAAUAGCAUUCAAUAGUGGAAUGUUGAUUUGGACCUUGCGAAAAGUUUCAAAUAAUUCAUUUUCUUCCUCUAUCUUCUUGGAAAAGGCUAACCGGGAAGGGAAGGGAGGUGGUAUGACCAAUGGUUUGAUGGGUUUUUUGGAAGAGUCAGGUUGAUCAACGUUUGGCACAACUGGUUCCUUUGGAGGAACCACAACUUUUGGAGGUUCCACGAUGAUCACUUCAUCUUCGUCUUCUCUUGAAACUCUUUUAGGUUGACUUUCUCCAAGUGUUUUCCCACUUCGCAAGGUAAUGGCACUCACAUUGGGGGUUCUUCUCGGUUUGUGAUGGAAGUUUACCCUUUUGUUCUAUCUUGUUGAGAGCGGUUGCCAAGUCUCCAAUUUGUGCUUGAAUGUUGGAGAAAGUAUUCUUGGUUUCAUGUUGAAAUUUGGUUUGGCUUUGAGAAAGAGAAGUGACAAGUUCUUGAAGGCUCAUUUGAUGGGUACCACUUGAUUGGCCUUGUUGUGGAGGUUGUUGAUAAUUUGGAGGGUUAUAAGAAUUUUGUGGAUAUGGAGGUUUUUGGGAUUGGUAUUGUGGAUGUUGGGGUCUCAUCAAAAGAUUUGGUGGAUUUUGCUUUGGUGGAUAAGGGUUGUUUUGGUUAUUCCUCCAAUUUGGGUUGAAAUUGUUUUGAAAUCCCAUGGGUCUUGGUUGACCUUGAUAUCCGCCCAUUGCAUUCACAUCUUCCGGUUCACUUCCAAGUGUGGGACACUUAUCCGUAUAAUGGCUCGUCAUUGCACAAAUACCACAUACCAUCAAUUGUUGACCACUUCCCACCACCAUUUGACUUAACACAUUAGUCAAAUCCAAGAGCUUCGAUUCCAAGUGUUGAGUGUUGCUAACUUCACCAACCACUUGUGUAGAAUUUCUCUUCAUGUCAAUUAGAGUCCCAAAAUUCCUUUGAUUUUGAGAAAUGGUACCAAAAAGUAAUCGGAUCUCGUGAGGGGUUUUGUUGAAGAUGUCACCACCACUUGAAGCAUCAAUCAUCCUUCGAUCUUUUUCAUUCAUACCCUCAUAAAAUUGUUUAAGAAGUAGUUUUUCGGGUAUAUUGUAUUGAGGACAACUUGUACACAAAUUGUUGAAGCUCCCAAAAUCAUGAAAUGUUUCAUUUUCCCCUUGAUGAAUCCACAAAAUGUCACUUCUUUGACUUGAAAUGCGGGAGGUGGGAUAGAAUUUGCUAUUGAAGGUCUUGAGUAACUCUUCCCAUGUGUGAAUUGAUCCAUGUGGUAAGUUGAAUAACCACUCUCUAGCUUUGUCUUCCAAGGUGAGUGGGAAUGCGGUUAACUUGAAAUCAUCCAAUGUCGCAUUGUCGGGCAACAUGCUAACACAUAUCAUAUGAAAGGAAUUCAAAUGCUUUUGAGGAUCUUCUCUAUCCAACCCAUGGAAUUUGGUUAGUUUAUGGAUGAAACUUGACUUCAAUUCAAUCCCUAGGCGGUUUGCGGGAUAAACAAUAGCAAGAGGUGUGUGAGUAACAUCCGUUUCCAUAAUUUGUCUAAGUGUCAACUCUUGAGGGGGAUUGGGUGGAUUGGGGUUAUUGGGAUAUUGUUGCAAGUAAUUGGGUGGUUGAUGAUAAGGUGGGUAAGGGUAUUGGUUGUGAUUGUAAAUUGGUGGUGGAUAAGCUUGGUAAUUAGGAUAUUGGUUGUAGGGGGUUGUUGUUGUGGGUACAUUUGGUUUUGGUACAUUUGAGGGGGUUGGUAAUUGGGUUGAUUUGGGUAAUGUACUUGUUGUUGAACUUGAAAAGCAUUGUUUUGAGGUUGGUUGUUUUGGUGGAAGUUUUGGUUUUGUGGUUGAUAAUUGGGUUGGUUUUGAGGAGGUGCUUGAUUCCAAGGUGGCAUAUCAAUGAGAGGUUCUUGUGGUUAGUGUCUUGGUUGAUGGGGUGGGGUAUUGGCAUCUUGAUUGAUUGGGUUUGGGUUGGGAUUGUGAGGUGAAGUGUGAUUCAUGGCUAUGUGGUUUUCAAACGGAAUGUCUUCAAAGGAAUGACCAACAAUUAGAGAACUCGGUUCGGUGUCGGUAUCACUUGAAGUAUGAACUUGAUCUUCUAUGUUGAUUAGUGGAGAAGAGGAAGAAGCUUGAACUAGUUGUUGUUUCUUUGCUUGUUUGGAUAACUUUUUCAACCUUUUUGCUACUCUUUCAAUUUUCGGAUUGUAGAGUAGUUCACCGGUUCUUGUAGACCUAGGCAUAAACAAUCAAAUAACAAUAACCAAUUUCCCCGGCAACGGUGCCAAAACUUGGUGGGAUGUCAAGUCCACGAAGCAAAUUACAACAUUUGAUUGCUAAAUAAACGUAAUAUAAUGGUAAAAAGGGGUAUCGAUCCUCGGGGAAAUGGUUGUAUUCAAUCACCAAUGCAAUUCAAUAGAACUAGUGAAAUUAAACUAACUAACUACAAUUAAACUAAAGGGGGGGGGGUUGAUUACUUGAAAACUAAAAUACUUGAAUAACUAAAAACCUUGCAAUUAAGCAAGUUGAUGAGAUGCUCAAAGGUUGAAAAUAAUUGGUUAACUAAGGCAAUUCAACACAAUGAACAUUUGUGUGUUUAUCAUUAGGAUCUAAUACAAAUCUUAUCCUUCAUCCCAAAUUGGUUAUAGCAAUCAUGAAGCAUGAUAUGCCAAGAUUCCUCAUAGGUAGUAUGGAGGUUGGGGAAGCCCACAACACACCUUCUUAAUUAAGAUCAAGGGUCAAUUGAAGCAAUUAAUCCCAAGAAAUCAAUUAGCCUUAAGAAUGAAGGAAUCCCCAAUUCCUAGAGGAUGUCAAAUGCUUACACAUCCAUAAAGGAGUUAUGAUUCAUAAGCUAGAGAUGAUUUCUACCAUCAUAAAGCCUUUGUUCUAGAUAAAUUCAAUGAUCCAAUGCAAAAUCAAUGAAAUAAAUCAACCAUUGCUCAAUCAAAUACUAAGCUCAUGAUCAAAGCAUCAAAUAAGCAUAAGAAUUGCAAACUAGAAUCAUAAACAUGGAAUAAAUUGAUAAUCAACAUAAAUCCUUCAAAACCCACAAACAUUCAUUGGUUUUCAGCCAAAGUCAACCAAAUAAGAGUAUUAGCCACUCAUGGCAACAAAGUAACAAGAACAAUAAUCUAAUUGCAUAAAGAAACUACCUAAGAAUUGGAAAGAUGAAAGGAAAUGGUUUCUAGCUCCCAAAAUCGCCUCUUGCAGGUCUCUAAUGGUGGAAAAACGUGAAUUAGCUUCUAGAUCUGAUCCCCAAGGGUUAUGGUGUGCCAAAUGACCAAAAUGCCCAAACUGGGCAGUUGCGCGGGUACCCGCGCGACGAAAAUUCCACUCACGCAAAUGUUGCUGUAAUACUAUUGGUCCACCAAGCCACUCCACCCUUCCACUACCAAAGAUUCCUUUGGUCCCCCUCCUUGUCCAUGUAAUUUGAAAUGCACCAAUCAUCAUUUAGCCACCAAAUGGAUGCUCCAAGCCCAAAAUUUGAAUUUUAUGAUCCAUCUUCACAAGCCCAAAUGAUUCAAGCCAAUAACUUUCAAAGCCCAAUUCUUCCUCUUUGAUUCCGCCAAGCCCAAUAAUGCCUCGGAAGCCCACUAAGCCCGUCUUCAAUCAA
This 8108-nucleotide long non-coding RNA is filed under the name Lactuca sativa (garden lettuce). Its description in RNAcentral is "long non-coding RNA (LSAT_LNC002165)". Lineage: Eukaryota; Viridiplantae; Streptophyta; Magnoliopsida; Asterales; Asteraceae. The record is from RNAcentral.